UGCUCUCUCCUGCCACCCUGUGAAGAAGAUGCCUUGCUUCCCCUUCGCCUUUUGCCAUGAUUGUCCUGUGCUAAGUCCUUGAAAUGUAUUAUCAUACUCCUCAUAAAACAUUUUAAGAACAGAUGGUUCUACAUCCCACAGUUGGGUGACAAAGAACUUUGGUCUGGGACAUACCAGUGCCUUUCACAGCUGCCAUGCUGUGAAAACACUCAAGCAGUCUCACAGAGUGUUCAAAUGGCAAGGUACUGAGGUGCCCUGGCAACGGCAAGGAACUGAGGCCUUCAUCCAAAGCCAUUAAGUGAGCCAUACUGGAAGCAGGUGCUCCGGUCCCUGGUGGUCUUGAGAUGACAGCAGCUUCAGUGUCUUGACUGCAACCUCAAGAAAGACCUUGAGCCAAAGCCAUCCAGAACAACAGAUGACACGAGAUGUCCCUGCUGGGGAGAAAAACUUGAUGAUCCCAUUGGCAAACCAGCUCCUGAGAUUUGUAUCAAGGCCUCUGCAUCUCACAGCUACCUUGUGUCUCCUCUAUUGAAAAGCUGCUGGGACUUUCAGAGACAUUCUACUAAUGGCAAGUUCUGAGCGUGUGUGUUCAUUGGAAAUUCAGAGAUAAGCCAUUUGUGAACCAGGGAUCUAGAAAACUUGUCAUCAGAUGACGCAUCUAUUUUAGGGGCUGCCGAGCUCCAGGUGGCCUGAUUGCUUGUCUCAGGCUCCCCCCACCACUGGAACUCCAUGCUUAUAGUCUCAGCUAAUGUGGAACACGGUGGGUGUCUAUCCUGAAGGUGGGUUCCUUCUGGGAUGCCACCUGUGCAACCAG
RNAcentral lists this long non-coding RNA (814 nucleotides) under Homo sapiens (human). RNAcentral's name for it is "HSALNT0205714". Lineage: Eukaryota; Metazoa; Chordata; Mammalia; Primates; Hominidae. The record is from RNAcentral.